AUAUGUAUGUGUAUAUAUUCAAAAUAGCAGAAGACGUAAGAUUGAUUAUAGUAAGCGAAAGAUAGAGAAAAGCAAAUUGCAAUUAUUAUUAUUUUUAAAAAGUAAAAAGUCAAAUAGCGCGCGCCUGCAGUGUUCUAGUAAUAUUUAUAAAAGAAGAGACAAAACUCAGCAGUGUUUACUGAUGUUAUCUUUAUGUCUAUCUUUUGAUAAAAAUUCAUUGAUUUGUAUUAAAAAUAGAAAGGAAAAUACUAGAUUUUAAAAAUUCACUGCUAAUUAAUAAAACUAAAUGCAUUAUAUUUAAUAACACAUAAAGCAAAAUAUGUAACUUAAGAACAUCACGAGUAAUAUUAAACGUAUAUUCAGCUUAUAGUUAGAAAGAAUUAGAAAAGAAAUUAGUAAAAGAAGAGAAACAUAGAAAAUUCAAGGCUAUAAAGAGUUCAUUCCCAUAAUAGCGAAACGGAAGGCAAAAGCACAAAGGCAACGGGUUGUUAUAACGUCUACGGUACAGUUACAGUCGACAUAAUAAGCUCAAGUAAUUCCACUCCAUGGAGUCACGAUCGUCCUUACCAGCUGCUCGAUAACCGGAGCUGCUGCUCGUCGGACAUAAGUAAUGAAAGGAGGAAACCGAGUUUUCCGAAUGCUCCUCUCGUCUGGUGGAUAUAGAAGACCAACGAAGGCAAUGACUCUUGUGUAAAAAUGGCGUGGGACUUGAAAAGAAAGGGAGCACAAAAUGCUGCUUGGAAGCGGUCCAGCUUUGUCCCUCGUUUGACGAUGUGUUUUACUGCACAAUCUCGGCAAGCGCUAGAGAUUAUAACUGGAUCUGCGUAGAGGAAUAAAUUUGGUCUCAACGUGGAAAAGUUUUCUACUCUCCGGCAACGUUUUUUAAUGCUGCAUUACCCUUCUAUCUUGAAACGUUUCUGCUCAUCUCCACUUGUGUAGGCUCUCGUCUUCAUCUAAAUGCUACAUGCUGAGAAUCCGAAAGACCACUUAGAGCAGAAGGCUUCACAGAGGCACUGAUUGCGGAAACAUGAGAUUUAUGUCCUUUUACGAGGUCUAAUUAGUUCCGGGCCAUACUAUGUACUAUUAAUGUAAUAACCGCAAGAAAAGUACUAUAAUAAUAAAAUUAUGUACAAAUUUAUAAUGAUGCUAAGAUUAUUAAUAAAGCUAUUUAUAAUAAUUCUAACGUCAUACAAUUGUAAAAAUGUCUAACUUAUAAUAAAAAAUGUGAAGAUACAAACUGAAAAUUUUUCUGCGUGAAACGUAUGCUACGAAAAAAUAUUCUGACCGCGAUGUAAUUAAUUCCUUAAUUAGAGAAGUAUCGAGAUUCAACUUUGUUCUAAACAUACGCUCUAAACGUUUCACAUAAUAUAUCCUCAAAUUUGGUUGUAAACCGCGUGCUAACCGGAGAGAAAUGAUUAGAACGCACGAAAUAUGCGUUGAAUUAUUUACUGUGACAGUGAUAAAACCGACUAGGGCAAUAAUUACGUUUGCGCAAUUUAAAUUGCAUUCCAUACAUAAUCCGCGAAUCCGUGAUCCCGGCCGCGUUAUUACCUUCUCUUAUACAUUUCUGCCAUCCUUUUCGCCUUCACGGUACAUCUUGGCGCUUUGUUCACGAGGGCGUACAUGAGAAAAAGUACCAACAGCAGAAUCUCUCGGUUUUAUCAAAUAGCGCACGUGCGCCAUUCUUGCUUUCUGUAGAAUGAAUCGAAGGAAUCCGCGCGUUUGUAUUCGAGAUCCGCUUACAGUUACAAAAGGGAUGUUUGGAUCGUAGCAAGAGAUGCAGAAAGAAAUUCAAACUAUAGUGAAUAAUAAAUGCAUUGAGCUCAUUUGUUCAUCUGUUUCAAAAAUGCGAUAAAUAUGUAUUGAUUUUAGCGAAAAAUAAAACAAAAGAAGACGUUUCUUGUAGGAAUCUAGAAAAUAAUACUGGUUUGUGAUAAGUUUUGUAAAAAUAAAUUAAGUGCGCUCGAUGCUAGUACUUCAUAUUAGAUAAUUUUAGAAAAUUGUUUUAUUCUUAAAAACAGUUAUAUACUUUAUCACAGGUAAAUUAAAUUAUAAAUCAUUUUUCUGGAAAAAGUAAUUUCACGCGUAUUAAAUUUAGGUUAAUAUAUUUUCGCAAAAAAAAAAAAAAAAAAAAAACCGUUGCCUGAGUUAUACAUAAUUUUUCGGGGAACUUUGGUAGAAUUAAUUGGCCUCAAUUUUUUAAAAAUUAACAGAUAAAUGUAACAAAUUUUGCAUGUGGUAUAUUUUGAAUAUUCGCAAGAAAUUAAAAAAAAAAACGAUACAUUAAAAAAGUUCACGAUGUAUUAAAUAAAAAUUUUUGUGAAUUCUCAACAAAUAGCAUUUUGCGAAUAAAUGGAAAUUGCGGUCAGAGGGAAGUUAUGAUGCUUCAUCGUGCAAUACAGAAUCAUAGUUUGUGGCGAACAGUUUCAUUAGGUUUCUAGUUGACCACGCUAAGACCUACCGCGUUGUGGUGGAUAUAUCGUCUUUUGUAAGAUUAGACGCCGACUCUUGGCCUAACUGUAAUUAAGAAGAGUGUUCUACCUAACUACGGUCGGCGCUUCGCCCAACCAACGAACGAGAUGUCAUUUUUUCCAUUCUAGUCAAUUACAAUCAAUAAGUUUCUCCACAUACAUAAAACGCAAAUUAAUAUU
This 2651-nucleotide long non-coding RNA is filed under the name Monomorium pharaonis (pharaoh ant). RNAcentral describes it as "uncharacterized LOC118645391". The record is from RNAcentral. Lineage: Eukaryota; Metazoa; Arthropoda; Insecta; Hymenoptera; Formicidae.